This 45-nucleotide non-coding RNA is filed under the name Schistosoma margrebowiei. The record is from RNAcentral. Lineage: Eukaryota; Metazoa; Platyhelminthes; Trematoda; Strigeidida; Schistosomatidae.
AUCCAGCCGACGAGUCCCAAACAGGAUGAAACGCGUGUCCUGGAU